GGACGGCGCUGAGACCAGAACCCACAGCCAAACGCCAAUGAGCACAGGACUCCGCCCACCAGCCCCACAACCCCAUGAGCCCCGGAAAGUUGGAGCGUCACGAUAGUGGGAGGAGAAGCUUUAAAACCGGCAACAAUGAAGGAGACGCAGAGGGCAGCCACGGGCAUUUGGCCACAUUCUUGUUUUUUCUGGACGAGGUGACCACAGCUCCUAGUGUGCAGUAGGACGCCUGGGCUGCAGCAUCCGAAAAGUACGUCUUGAGUGGGCGUGAAGAUUGCCUUCUGGGGAGCGAGGUUUAGAACCGAAAGCUGCAUAAGCGGCAGGUGCGCUGGGCACCCGGAACGUGGUGUGGUCAGUGAGGCCCCGGCAGCUCCUCAGGGCGAGGACUCUGGGACCGUAACGUGGAGUGUGGUCAGUGAGGCCCCGGCAGCUCCUCAGGGCGAGGACUCUGGGCCCAUAACGUGGAGUGUGGUCAGUGUGUCCCCGGCAGCUCCUCAGAG
Molecule: long non-coding RNA, 500 nt
Filed under: Homo sapiens (human)
Lineage: Eukaryota; Metazoa; Chordata; Mammalia; Primates; Hominidae
Description: HSALNT0253846
Source: RNAcentral